Molecule: long non-coding RNA, 2526 nt
Filed under: Danio rerio (zebrafish)
Lineage: Eukaryota; Metazoa; Chordata; Actinopteri; Cypriniformes; Danionidae
Description: si:dkey-19d21.4 (ENSDARG00000097908.3)
Source: RNAcentral
CAUUAUUGCAAUGGAAAAUGUAACUUUCAGCAGCUAUUCCUCUAGUAAUAAGUGUUACAUGACAUUUCAGAAACCACUAAAAUGUGCUGAUUUGGUGCUCAAGAAGCAUUGUUGAGAAGUAAUGAGCUGCUUAUUUUCCUGAAAAGUGAGAAUUUUUUUUUAUUCUAGGAAAAAACACCCCCUCAAUUUGCAUAAUGUUACACCACAGAAUAAUUAUUAUAUGUUCAAUGUAGUUGUUCGCAACAGAAUAAUCAUAAUUUGAAGUGUUUGGAUUAAAAAAUAAACUUAUGUUUUUUUUUUAUUUCUAGACAAGUGGCAUGAGAUGGUCUGCUUGGCUUCAUAAUUUCUAUGGAAACUAUUUAUGACAGCUUAAGGUAUGUCCUCACAGCACUGGCAUCAGCAAUAAUACAAUAUUGAAAACUUGGUACACAGAUUUAAAUGAAUUCACACCGGACAUGAUCUAUUUUUGCACAGUAUAUGUAAACAAUCGGAGGCAACGGGGCAAUACAACACCCCAAAUCAACAGCGAAUUACAUAAAUGCGGUAAUAAAUGUAUUCUGUGUUUUAAACGGGUGUUUACGACCUAUGUCCUUUAAGCCUGAAAAUAUGAGGAGUGCAGAGAGUAACCCUUGUAAGCGUGCUUUCAUCGGCCGGCUAAAGUCUGACAUCGCCCUAUUUUUAACCGGAGGUAUGACGUGUCAAAAUGGAGUACUCAGUCAUAUUUGGGUAGUUUCCCAGUAUUGGUGGACACGUCUUAAAACGCUGAAAUUAAUGAAAAACACAGGUCAAAGCACUUUAACCCGUUUUAUCCUAGGCGUGAGCGCUUGUUUGUGUAGUAAAGUCACACUAUUGUGUAAGUUAACAUUAGGCUAACCUAGUUAAAUCGCAGCAUGACAGCGAGCAACAUUUAUGCCGAAUUACAUGAAAUAACUUUUGCAAUUUUAACGGUUUAUUUAAACCAUGUUUACCUAAACAAGACUUAACUCUUGACAACCAGUGCGUAUUCGAUCAACAAACCGGCCAAGUCAUCAGAUAGCUUAGCAUGCUAAGAGUGCAGCCCGAUAGAUUAGCCGCAUGCAGCUCUGACUGUUUAUAUGUUAUGACGAGUUUGUAAAGUGACAACUACAAAUACACAUUGGAAAAGGAGUUACAAGACGUUUUAUCCAUCAAUUAUGAUCGAUUUAUGCGACAUGUAGCGGUGUAGCACAGUUUCCAUGUCACAAUAGCUAACAGAGCCGUUCCACACUGGCUCCACAUCAAACGUUGCCACGGUCCAACACAAAGUCCGGUUGUGCAUUCCAACACUAAGCGAUGAGUAAAAUACGCUAAAUAAAUAGUGUCACUUUUGAUUAAUAUCAAACAUUCAACAUAAGUUAAAAGCAUUUGUCGUGGCAUGGGGCGCUUACUUGUGGUGUUUCAUACAAGGAUUAUCAAUGAUAAAUAGUCAAGAAAAUACACUUCACAAUAAGUGAAGGCAAAUGUUAAUUGUUUGAAAUUGAUUAUGUGGGUGUACACGCAGACUCGCGCACGUUGGCCGUUUAUGUAUAGGAUUUUCCGACUGCUUCUAUUUAGGGUUCUGGAACGUUUGUGUUUGAACGGGUAUAGAAUUUUCCGUCGCGUUCUAUUCAGGCCACUUGGUGCCGAGUUGGAAUCAGCGGUAAGCGCGAGCCCAGUCUCUGCCAGGCCCACUCACAUGACUGUCAAAGAGCAAUAGGCCUCGUUUCCAGCUAAACUGCAGAAACAAACACCCCUCAGCAACACUAAUAAUGACCCGGGCAUCAAAAGCGAACAGAGCUAACGACGCUCUCCAAACAGUUUGGCCAAAACAUUCGGUUUUGCAAGAUAAACGGGUAGCGGUGAAGUUUCUGAGAUUUGGCCGUCCAUCAUGGCGGACAGGAAAUAACAGAACAAGCUUAAGCUACGAGCAGGAACAUUCCACAGGAGCCGGUUCAUGUUGCUGUGGCAGCGACGGGGCAGAGCUAACUGGCUAUGCUGAUUUCUGAUGGACGCUUUGCUCUUUAAAACGGCCCAAAUGGAGAGAUGGAGCACAGGCCGCCAGUGCUGUGGAUGGUGAGUCAGGGAAUAAAAAAAAAGAUCAGCCCAUCCUCCCCUUACGAGACACAACACCCAUCUUUAACAUAACCUCAUCAAACCUCCAGCAGCCGUGCCAACUAGCAAGGGAAAAAGCAUCCAGGCAUCCAGGACAAACACGAGUACAUGAGCAUCCUCAGGACUGUUUGCUGAGGCUGGGGAUUAAAAGAUGGCCAGCCUUUUUUGGGGACUUGUGUUACAGAUGCAAUAUUCUAGAAAUCACAGAUUUGGAAUCACCAUCACUCCUCUUCAUCCAUUAGUUCUUCAUCUGAUCAGCUGCUGUCUGAGAAUUUCGGCCACUUUAGAAAGGAUCACUAUCAGUCAAUAAAAGCUGGAAAUUCAGCUGCCAGUUGAAUAGGGAUUGUCAGAUAAUUAAAGACUUUUCUGCUGAUAGGAAUCUCUAAUUUUGAUCAUGUGUUUGUUUGGAACAUCUCA